This 830-nucleotide ribosomal RNA is filed under the name uncultured Actinomycetales bacterium. RNAcentral's name for it is "bacterial SSU rRNA". It matches the Rfam family "Bacterial small subunit ribosomal RNA", at positions 71 to 916 of the family's 1533-position model. Lineage: Bacteria; Bacillati; Actinomycetota; Actinomycetes; Actinomycetales. The record is from RNAcentral.
GAAGCACCUUCGGGUGUGAAUUAGCGGCGAACGGGUGAGGAACACGUGAAGAAUCUGCCUUCAACUCUGGGAUAACUCCGGGAAACCGGGGCUAAUACCGGAUAUGAGCCUUGAUCGCAUGAUCGGGGCUGGAAAGUUUUUCGGUUGAAGAUGACUUCGCGGCCUAUCAGCUUGUUGGUGAGGUAAUGGCUCACCAAGGCGACGACGGGUAGCCGGCCUGAGAGGGCGACCGGCCACACUGGGACUGAGACACGGCCCAGACUCCUACGGGAGGCAGCAGUGGGGAAUAUUGGGCAAUGGAGGAAACUCUGACCCAGCGACGCCGCGUGAGGGAUGAAGGCCUUCGGGUUGUAAACCUCUUUCAGUAGGGAAGAAGCGAAAGUGACGGUACCUACAGAAGAAGCACCGGCUAACUAUGUGCCAGCAGCCGCGGUAAUACAUAGGGUGCAAGCGUUGUCCGGAAUUAUUGGGCGUAAAGAGCUCGUAGGUGGUUCGAUACGUCGGAUGUGAAAAUCAGGGGCUCAACCCCUGACCUGCAUCCGAUACGGUCGAGCUAGAGUUUGGUAGGGGAGACUGGAAUUCCUGGUGUAGCGGUGGAAUGCGCAGAUAUCAGGAGGAACACCGAUGGCGAAGGCAGGUCUCUGGGCCAAUACUGACACUGAGGAGCGAAAGCGUGGGGAGCGAACAGGAUUAGAUACCCUGGUAGUCCACGCCGUAAACGGUGGGCGCUAGUUGUGCGAACCUUCCACGGUUUGUGCGACGCAGCUAACGCAUUAAGCGCCCCGCCUGGGGAGUACGAUCGCAAGAUUAAAACUAAAAUGAAUUGACGG